GCUUGUGUAGAUCAGUGGUAGAUCACCUCUACUUCAUACUUGCGAAAAGUUUUGGUUUCACGAGGAGGCGGAGGUUCGAAUCCUCCUACGGGCA
Non-coding RNA from Mycena epipterygia, 94 nucleotides. Lineage: Eukaryota; Fungi; Basidiomycota; Agaricomycetes; Agaricales; Mycenaceae. The record is from the annotation of a GenBank genome assembly.